Molecule: transfer RNA, 64 nt
Filed under: Oxyrrhis marina
Lineage: Eukaryota; Dinophyceae; Oxyrrhinales; Oxyrrhinaceae
Source: RNAcentral
GCGCGGUGGCCGAGUGGUUGGGACGCCGCGCUAGCAACCUGGUGGUCGUAGGUUUGAGCCCGGU